RNAcentral lists this ribosomal RNA (408 nucleotides) under uncultured Phoma. RNAcentral's name for it is "eukaryotic LSU rRNA". The stretch from base 99 to 252 matches the Rfam family "5.8S ribosomal RNA". RNAcentral also lists the same sequence under 1 other name. The record is from RNAcentral. Lineage: Eukaryota; Fungi; Ascomycota.
UUUUGAGUACCUUCGUUUCCUCGGCGGGUUCGCCCGCCGAUUGGACAAUUUAAACCAUUUGCAGUUGCAAUCAGCGUCUGAAAAAACAUAAUAGUUACAACUUUCAACAACGGAUCUCUUGGUUCUGGCAUCGAUGAAGAACGCAGCGAAAUGCGAUAAGUAGUGUGAAUUGCAGAAUUCAGUGAAUCAUCGAAUCUUUGAACGCACAUUGCGCCCCUUGGUAUUCCAUGGGGCAUGCCUGUUCGAGCGUCAUUUGUACCUUCAAGCUCUGCUUGGUGUUGGGUGUUUGUCUCGCCUCUGCGCGUAGACUCGCCUCAAAACAAUUGGCAGCCGGCGUAUUGAUUUCGGAGCGCAGUACAUCUCGCGCUUUGCAUUCAGAACGACGACGUCCAAAAGUACAUUUUUACA